CCGACGGUGAGGGGCGAAGCCUAGGGGCACGAACCGGAUUAGAUACCCGGGUAGUCCCAGCUGUAAACGAUGCAAACUCGAUGAUGCGUUGGCUUAUUGCUAGCGCAGUGUCGCAGGGAAGCCGUUAAGUUUGCCGCCUGGGAAGUACGUACGCAAGUAUGAAACUUAAAGGAAUUGGCGGGGGAGCACCACAAGGGGUGAAGCCUGUGGUUCAAUUGGAGUCAACGCCUGAAACCUUACCCGGAGAGACAGCAGAAUGAAGGUCAAGCUGAAGACUUUACCAGACAAGCUGAGAGGUGGUGCAUGGCCGUCGCCAGCUCGUGCCGUGAGAUGUCCUGUUAAGUCAGGUAACGAGCGAGAUCCCUGCCUCUAGUUGCCACCAUUACUCUCAGGAGUAGUGGGGCGAAUUAGCGGGACCGCCGCAGUUAAUGCGGAGGAAGGAAGGGGCCACGGCAGGUCAGUAUGCCCCGAAACUCUGGGGCCACACGCGGGCUGCAAUGGUAACGACAAUUGGUUUCGAAUCCGAAAGGAUGAGGUAAUCCUCAAACGUUACCACAGUUAUGACUGAGGGCUGCAACUCGCCCUCACGAAUAUGGAAUCCCUAGUAACUGCGUGUCAUUAUCGCGCGGUGAAUACGUCCCUGCUCCUUGCACACACCGCCCGU
RNAcentral lists this ribosomal RNA (664 nucleotides) under uncultured archaeon. RNAcentral's name for it is "bacterial SSU rRNA". It matches the Rfam family "Archaeal small subunit ribosomal RNA", at positions 691 to 1353 of the family's 1478-position model. The record is from RNAcentral.